GCUAGCUGACUGUUUGUAAUUUGACCGAAAUGCAAGUUUAGAUAUUUGCUAUAGUGUUGAAAAUUUUGAACUAGGACGGUCUGAGGC
Small nucleolar RNA from Cornus florida, 87 nucleotides. RefSeq annotates it as small nucleolar RNA snoR20a. Lineage: Eukaryota; Viridiplantae; Streptophyta; Magnoliopsida; Cornales; Cornaceae. The transcript has a single exon. The record is from RefSeq and is a predicted model, not a curated record.